Molecule: non-coding RNA, 175 nt
Filed under: Aliivibrio wodanis
Lineage: Bacteria; Pseudomonadati; Pseudomonadota; Gammaproteobacteria; Vibrionales; Vibrionaceae
Description: lysine riboswitch
Rfam family: Lysine riboswitch aptamer
About the family: Riboswitches are metabolite binding domains within certain messenger RNAs that serve as precision sensors for their corresponding targets.
Source: RNAcentral
UACAUAAAGAAGAGGAGCAUUACCUAGGUAGCUUAAUUUGUGGAGUCCAAACUCCCAGCCAACUAAGUGAGGGAGAGUAAUGCCGAGACGAACUUUAUUGGGAAAACUUCGUCGGUCGUUUAGGCUGAAUCCUAACGAUUGUCACUUAUUUUUUAAGUGAAGGGCUUCUAGCAAC